RNAcentral lists this non-coding RNA (23 nucleotides) under Rattus norvegicus (Norway rat). Lineage: Eukaryota; Metazoa; Chordata; Mammalia; Rodentia; Muridae. The record is from RNAcentral.
UUCAUGGGGUGCCUCAUGAUGAU